This 305-nucleotide ribosomal RNA is filed under the name uncultured bacterium. RNAcentral describes it as "bacterial SSU rRNA". It matches the Rfam family "Bacterial small subunit ribosomal RNA", at positions 334 to 631 of the family's 1533-position model. The record is from RNAcentral.
UAGGCCUACGGGAGGCAGCAGUAGGGAAUCUUCCACAAUGGGCGAAAGCCUGAUGGAGCAACGCCGCGUGGGUGAAGAAGGUCUUCGGAUCGUAAAACCCUGUUGUUAGAGAAGAAAGUGCGUGAGAGUAACUGUUCACGUUUCGACGGUAUCUAACCAGAAAGCCACGGCUAACUACGUGCCAGCAGCCGCGGUAAUACGUAGGUGGCAAGCGUUAUCCGGAUUUAUUGGGCGUAAAGGGAGCGUAGACGGCGCGGCAAGUCUGAAGUGAAAGGCAGGGGCUUAACCCCUGAACUGCUUUGGAA